ACUGGGGACCAUCUGGAGAGGUGGCAGAGCGGUUGAAUGUACCUGACUCGAAAUCAGGCAGGCGUUUAUAGCGCCUCGGGGGUUCGAAUCCCCCCCUCUCCGCCAGAUUCGCAUCAGCCCCCGCAAGGGGGCUUUUG
RNAcentral lists this unclassified non-coding RNA (137 nucleotides) under Xanthomonas arboricola pv. juglandis. RNAcentral describes it as "sX4". It matches the Rfam family "Proteobacterial sRNA sX4", at positions 1 to 112 of the family's 167-position model. The record is from RNAcentral. RNAcentral also lists the same sequence under 1 other name. Lineage: Bacteria; Pseudomonadati; Pseudomonadota; Gammaproteobacteria; Lysobacterales; Lysobacteraceae.